GGGAGCUCAGCCAGUCUGGCAAACAAUCUUCAGAAGAGAGACACAAGGAAAGAACAAAGAAGAUCCAAGUCCACUCAUGGAUUCAGUCCAAAGACGCCAAUGAAAAGCUCAUACAGUCCUUCUGCUGGGACACAUGAACAUCUUCAUCAGAGGCUGAAGCAUCACUGCACACUUGGAGUGAACAGCAGUCAGAGAGUUUGAGACGAGAGAUUAAGGACAAUCAGAAACACUGCAGACAAGACCAACAUUCUAUGCAGCAGACAUGUCUGUUAACUCAUCAUCAACGUCCAACUAUCUCUACGCUUGUGCCAGUGUUGUUAGCAUGUACAUGUACUAUACCAUCACUGCAUUGAGAACCAUCCUCCUCCUCCCUCUCUCCACCUUCAUCCUCUACCUGGGUCAUCAAAGAUGGAGGCAGCAUCGUUCCUCUAAAGCAGUGACUCACUCUGACAUCUUCACCUACAAUGUUGCUGCCAUGGAUCUCAUCUGGAUCUUGGGAAGUUUCUGCAUCUUUGGUGGUCAAUACACUAAUCACUCAGCAAUGCUACUAGUUGGACUGUAUCUGUGUUCUGUUCCUUACUGUGGAGAGCUUUUUUUUCACAUGCUGACCUGUGUGGAGCGCUACCUGGCUGUG
Amphiprion ocellaris (clown anemonefish) is the source of this 634-nucleotide long non-coding RNA. NCBI's taxonomy places the organism in Eukaryota, Metazoa, Chordata, Actinopteri, Pomacentridae. The record is from Ensembl.